UCCUACGGGAGGCAGCAGUAGGGAAUCUUCCGCAAUGGACGAAAGUCUGACGGAGCAACGCCGCGUGAGCGAAGAAGGUCUUCGGAUUGUAAAGCUCUGUUGUUAGGGAAGAACAAGUACCGUUCGAAUAGGGCGGUACCGUGACGGUACCUAACGAGAAAGCCACGGCUAACUACGUGCCAGCAGCCGCGGUAAUACGUAGGUGGCAAGCGUUGUCCGGAAUUAUUGGGCGUAAAGCGAGCGCAGGCGGUUAGAUAAGUCUGAAGUUAAAGGCUGUGGCUUAACCAUAGUACGCUUUGGAAACUGUUUAACUUGAGCGCAAGAGGGGAGAGUGGAAUUCCAUGUGUAGCGGUGAAAUGCGUAGAUAUAUGGAGGAACACCGGUGGCGAAAGCGGCUCUCUGGCUUGUAACUGACGCUGAGGCUCGAAAGCGUGGGGAGCAAACAGGAUUAGAUACCCUGGUAGUCCACGCCGUAAACGAUGAGUGCUAGGUGUUAGACCCUUUCCGGGGUUUAGUGCCGUAGCUAACGCAUUAAGCACUCCGCCUGGGGAGUACGACCGCAAGGUUGAAACUCAAAUGAAUUGACGG
RNAcentral lists this ribosomal RNA (588 nucleotides) under uncultured Streptococcus sp. RNAcentral's name for it is "bacterial SSU rRNA". It matches the Rfam family "Bacterial small subunit ribosomal RNA", at positions 337 to 916 of the family's 1533-position model. Lineage: Bacteria; Bacillati; Bacillota; Bacilli; Lactobacillales; Streptococcaceae. The record is from RNAcentral.